AGUGAACGCUGGCGGUAGGCCUAACACAUGCAAGUCGAACGGCAGCACCGUAAGAGCUUGCUCUUACGGGUGGCGAGUGGCGGACGGGUGAGGAAUACAUCGGAAUCUACUUUUUCGUGGGGGAUAACGUAGGGAAACUUACGCUAAUACCGCAUACGACCUACGGGUGAAAGCAGGGGAUCUUCGGACCUUGCGCGAUUGAAUGAGCCGAUGUCGGAUUGGCUAGUUGGCGGGGUAAAGGCCCACCAAGGCGACGAUCCGUAGCUGGUCUGAGAGGAUGAUCAGCCACACUGGAACUGAGACACGGCCCAGACUCCUACGGGAGGCAGCAGUGGGGAAUAGUGGACAAUGGGCGCAAGCCUGAUCCAGCCAUACCGCGUGGGUGAAGAAGGCCUUCGGGUUGUAAAGCCCUUUUGUUGGGAAAGAAAAGCAGCAGGUUAAUACCCCGCUGUUCUGACGGUACCCAAAGAAUAAGCACCGGCUAACUUCGUG
RNAcentral lists this ribosomal RNA (492 nucleotides) under uncultured bacterium. RNAcentral's name for it is "partial 16S ribosomal RNA". It matches the Rfam family "Bacterial small subunit ribosomal RNA", at positions 29 to 507 of the family's 1533-position model. The record is from RNAcentral.